Myotis brandtii (Brandt's bat) is the source of this 36-nucleotide non-coding RNA. NCBI's taxonomy places the organism in Eukaryota, Metazoa, Chordata, Mammalia, Chiroptera, Vespertilionidae. The record is from Rfam.
CGGGUUUCCUGCUUCAACAGUGCUUGGACAGAAUGG